AAAAGAGUAGAAGCCCUAGCCUAGCCUCCACCUUUUCUUCUCUCCUUCUCCCUCUCUCCUUCUCCCUCUCUUCACGAUAAUAUAGCUGCCACCCCCAGUCCGUGCGUUCUCUUCAGUCGCCGGUCCUUCUUCUUCAACUCCGGCAUUCCUCUAGCAAUAGACCCACGCUACCCUCCGGUGCCAGCGGUCAACAGCACGGGCAGACGACAGCGCAACACCCAACAACAACCCAGGCGACCUCCUCUGCGCGCGAAUCGGUGUCUGUCCGCGAGCUCCGGCCAACGCACGCGACUGGAGCAUCCUGGCAGCGGCGUUUUUUUUACCCUUUCCGUGAGUUUCGACACUUACCCACUGAAUUUUUGGCAUCGAAAUAGAAAUACCCACUUCCUAACGGCUCCGAGUUUGUAGGAUUAAGUCUAUUCGGACCCCAAUCAGCAAAGAUUCGGAUUCUUUUAGAUCCAGAAUAGUUUCAGGGUUAUUCGAACUCAUUUCAACAAGAACCCAAGUCUUUUUGUUUGGGCUUGAUUUGAAGUGUUUGGAUUGAGGUUUAAGGUCGCUUUGGAGAACAAUUGCUGUGGGAAGUAGGCACCUACUCUGAAGGAUAAAGUACCUUUACCGAAGUAAAAAAACCUCAACUACACUGAAAUAAUGUCUUCAUCCAAAGAUGCGGAUCCAACCCUAGGCUACCUCACUCGAAAGGAUGCAGAGGUGAAGUUACCGCGACCCACUAGGGUGAAGAACAAGACUCCGGCUCCAAUUCAAAUAACUGCAGAGCAGAUCCUUCGUGAGGCUCGAGAACGACAGGAGGCGGAAAUUAGACCACCCAAACAAAAAAUUACUGAUCCGACUGAACUUGCUGAUUAUCGCCUACGCAAGCGGAAGGAGUUUGAAGACCUUAUACGUCGUGUCAGGUGGAAUGUUAGUGUCUGGGUCAAGUAUGCUCAAUGGGAAGAGUCUCAAAAGGACUUCAAUCGGGCUCGUUCUGUUUGGGAGCGUGCCCUUGAGGUCGAUUACCGAAACCAUACCCUUUGGCUCAAGUAUGCAGAGGUUGAGAUGAAAAAUAAGUUUAUCAACCAUGCGAGGAAUGUUUGGGAUAGGGCAGUUACCCUCUUGCCAAGAGUGGACCAACUAUGGUACAAGUAUCUCCAUAUGGAGGAAAUGUUGGGGAACAUUGCUGGUGCAAGGCAGAUUUUUGAGAGAUGGAUGAGCUGGAUGCCGGACCAGCAAGGUUGGCUCUCUUACAUCAAGUUUGAGUUGAGAUACAAUGAGGUUGAACGUGCACGAGGCAUAUUUGAGCGCUUCGUUCAAUGCCACCCCAAAGUUGGGGCAUGGAUACGUUUUGCCAAAUUUGAGAUGAAAAAUGGGGAAAUUGCUAGAGCAAGAAAUUUAUAUGAGAGAGCCGUUGAGAAGUUAGCUGAUGAUGAAGAGGCAGAACAACUGUUUGUUGCUUUUGCUGAAUUUGAGGAGAGGUGUAAGGAAACAGAACGGGCACGGUGUAUAUAUAAGUUUGCCUUAGAUCAUAUCCCCAAAGGUAGAGCUGAGGAUAUCUACAGGAAGUUUGUGGCAUUUGAGAAGCAGUAUGGGGAUAAGGAAGGAAUAGAAGAUGCUAUAGUGGGGAAGAGGAGGUUUCAGUAUGAAGAGGAAGUGAGGAAGAAUCCCCUAAAUUAUGAUUCUUGGUUUGAUUAUAUACGGUUGGAGGAGAGUGCAGGGAACAAGGAGAGAAUCAGGGAAGUUUAUGAGAGGGCAAUAGCCAAUGUUCCUCCAGCUGAAGAGAAACGGUACUGGCAGCGUUAUAUUUAUCUAUGGAUCAAUUAUGCACUAUAUGAAGAGUUGGAUGCUGCAGAUGCUGAGCGUACCCGUGAUAUCUAUAGGGAGUGCCUAAAUUUGAUUCCUCAUGCGAAGUUUUCAUUUGCAAAGAUAUGGCUAUUAGCUGCACAAUUUGAAAUACGACAAUUGAACCUUAAAGGUGCCCGACAAAUUCUAGGCAAUGCCAUUGGGAGGGCUCCUAAAGAUAAGAUAUUCAAGAAGUAUAUAGAGAUAGAGCUGCAGCUGGGAAACAUAGAUCGAUGCCGUAAACUUUAUGAGAAGUAUUUGGUGUGGUCACCUGAAAAUUGUUAUGCAUGGAGUAAAUAUGCAGAGUUGGAGAGAUCUCUAUGUGAAACUGAUCGAGCGAGGUCUAUAUUUGAGCUUGCAAUUGCACAGCCUGCACUGGAUAUGCCAGAGUUAUUGUGGAAGGCCUACAUUGAUUUUGAGAUAUCAGAACAUGAAUUUCAAAGAACUAGAGAGCUAUACGAGAGACUUCUAGACAGAACAAAACACUUGAAAGUGUGGAUCAGUUAUGCCAAAUUUGAGGCAUCGGCAAUGGAGGAUGACAGCCAGCUUUUGGAAUUACCAGAAGACAACAUGCAGGAAUAUCUUCAUGCACGGAAGCAACAAUGUAUUCAACAGGCUAGAAGGGUCUUCGAAAAAGCUAUUACUUACUACAGAAAUUCAGCACCAGAGUUGAAAGAGGAGAGAGCUAUGCUCCUUGAGGAAUGGUUGAAUAUGGAGACAAGUUUUGGUGAGCUUGGUGAUGUCAGCUUAGUGCAGUCUAAGCUUCCAAAGAAGCUGAAGAAGAGGCGUCAAAUUGUUAGUGAGGAUGGUCCGGCUGGGUUCGAGGAAUACAUAGGUUACUUGUUCCCUGAAGAAACACAAACGACAAAUCUCAAGAUCCUUGAAGCUGCAUACCGUUGGAAGAAGCAGAAAGUUGAUGAUAAUUAAGUUGGCCUUUCUUUCACUCUCCGCUCCUCACAAUGGAUCUUGCUUGUGUACUUGGAAGGAAGGUUUGGGCUUUGCUACAGAAACUGGCAACGGCACCUGAUACUCUUGGUAGGAUGGAAUUGCCCGAUGUGACUGAAUGGACAUGUCAGACUGUUUCAAAAUUUUCGGAUUUUAAAUUUGAAAAGUGAAGAACACGGGAUACUCACAUCUAUGAAGGAGGUUUGAGAUUUCUUCCCUUUAUCUUUUUCCGACUUGCAUCUGAAAUCACUAAUAGUCUCCGCUAAUCAACGUGGCAGACUAAAUUAAGGUAAUUUCACCGUCUGCUCUCUAUUUGCAAUUUAUAAUUAUACCUUCAUUUUUUUUACUUUUGAUUUUUAGUCUCCUGCACUUUCGAUGUAAAGUAUCCAAUCAUGUUUAUACCACUGUUUGUUCAGAAAUUUGUGUUCGAGUAUAUGGUUCAAUUUCUAUACUUUCUAGAAAAUAGGGUAUUGAGGUUCAAUGCGGAACCAAACUUGUCUGGAGAAAUAUUAUCUUUUUGGACAGCUAGAUUCCAAAUUCACUAGUUCCUGUACUAUAAAUGUGUCUACCCUCACAUUGAACCUAGUAGAAUUGUAUGAAGAAUGAACAGCACAUGUACUAAAUAUCUAUUCUCUUUCUAUAAAGACUGUGCCUGCCUCAAUAAGACUCCGAUUCAUAAUGAUUUGUUUUUAGUUUUUAGUUUUUGAAAGUUAUGCUUGUUUACUCACUAUUUGGAUGGUAUGGUUUUCAGUUUUCUUGAAGAAUGGUUUGAAUUCUUAGGCAAAUUUCAAAACAAAAUAAUCUUAAAAAAUAGAAUUUUUAAGUCUUUUUUUCUGUUUUUGAAAUUAGGCUAAGAAUUCAAAUGUAAUAUAUUAGUCAUCAUUAGAAAGAAAAGGGGAAUAAGAACAUUUUUCCAAAUAGUAAUGAAAUGGGGCUUAAGAGUUCUUUCUUCAUUAAGCUUACCCAAAGAUUCACUAAGUAUGUAUUCUGCAGAUGAAGCUCAUGGAUUAUUAACUACUACGAUCUGAUGCUAAGGUUUCUUUUUGAGAUGGGACUGAGGAAUAAACUUUCUUAGUUGAAUGGUUGAAUCUCUGGAACCAUGAUCAAUCACUUUGCUUAUUCAAUUCUCCAAUGGUACAGAUGUUAAUACAAAUUCCAUAGCAGGGUUAAUGUUGUACGACUGACCCCAGGCUAAUUUGUAGUGCCUUUUCUUGAUAC
Benincasa hispida (wax gourd) is the source of this 3996-nucleotide non-coding RNA. The record is from RefSeq and is a predicted model, not a curated record. NCBI's taxonomy places the organism in Eukaryota, Viridiplantae, Streptophyta, Magnoliopsida, Cucurbitales, Cucurbitaceae.